Molecule: transfer RNA, 88 nt
Filed under: Brucella pseudogrignonensis
Lineage: Bacteria; Pseudomonadati; Pseudomonadota; Alphaproteobacteria; Hyphomicrobiales; Brucellaceae
Description: Ochrobactrum pseudogrignonense tRNA-Ser
Rfam family: tRNA
About the family: Transfer RNA (tRNA) molecules are approximately 80 nucleotides in length.
Source: RNAcentral
GGAAGGUUGGCAGAGCGGCUUAAUGUAGCGGGUUGCUAACUCGUCGGGCGGCAACGUCCCGUAGGUUCAAAUCCUACACCUUCCGCCA